GGUGGCUUGCCCGAGUGGUCUAAGGGGCUCGAUUCAAGAUCGAGUGCAAGCAAUUGCGCGUGGGUUCAAACCCCACAGCCACCA
This 84-nucleotide transfer RNA is filed under the name bacterium. RNAcentral describes it as "tRNA-Leu". It matches the Rfam family "tRNA". From Rfam's summary of the family: Transfer RNA (tRNA) molecules are approximately 80 nucleotides in length. Their secondary structure includes four short double-helical elements and three loops (D, anti-codon, and T loops). The record is from RNAcentral.